Molecule: ribosomal RNA, 1289 nt
Filed under: Curculionoidea sp. 1 KM-2017
Lineage: Eukaryota; Metazoa; Arthropoda; Insecta; Coleoptera
Description: 16S ribosomal RNA
Rfam family: Archaeal large subunit ribosomal RNA (bases 1051-1208)
Source: RNAcentral
GGAUAAAGUAUUAUUUAUUAUAUAUCGUUAAGUUUCAAUUUAAAAAAAGUAGUUUUAGGUUUUAUUAUUAUUAAGAAAAAAUAAUUUUAAUUAUAGAGUAUUAGUAUUGAUUGAGAAUUAAGAUUAUCUAUAUAAAAGAAAAAUUUACUUUUUGUACCUUGUGUAUCAGGGUUUUUUAAAUAAAUUUAAUUUAGUUUAAAUUCUCGAAUCUAAAAGAGUUAUGAGCUUAUAAUUUUUAUUGUAAAAAAAAUAUUAUGAAUAAUCUUAUUGAAGUGAAACGCUAUACGAUUUUGGAUAUAUCUAGUUUCUUAAGAAAUAAAUUUAAUUUAUUUUAUUUUUAAUAUAAUAUUUAAUUUAUAAUUUUAUAUUAGGAUAAGAAAAUGUAUUAGGGGAUAAGCUUUAGUAUAUAUAUAGUAUAAUUAAUUAUAUAAAAUUUUUAUAGAUUAAUAUUAGUAAGAAUAAAAGUUUCUUUUUGUAUUAUAACAAUAUAUAAAUUUAUAUAUAAUUUUAGAUAAUUUACUUUUUUUAUUAAGAUAUUUUUUUUAAUAAAAAAAAAUAAUCAAUAAUGAUAAAAUUAGUAUAUGAAAUUAUUUUAUAAAAAUAAAAUGAUAGGUUAGGAAAAGGAACUCGGCAAUACAUUUUUUUACCUGUUUAGUAAAAACAUGGCUUUUUGAUUAUUAUAAAAGGUCUCACCUGCUCAAUGAAUAAGUUUUAAAUAGCCGCAGUAUACUGACUGUGCAAAGGUAGCAUAAUCAUUAGUUUCUUAAUUAGAAGCUUGUAUGAAAGGUUGGAUAAGAAGAAGACUGUCUCUUUUUAAAUUUUGUAGAAUUUUAUUUUUAAGUAAAAAAGCUUAAAUUUUUGUAAAAGACGAGAAGACCCUAUAGAGUUUUAUAAGGAUAAAGUUUAUAUUAAAAUUGUAUAAAUACUACUAUAAAUUUUAUUUUAUUUAAUUGGGGUGAUUGAAAAAUUUGAGUAACUUUUUUUAAACUAAUCAUUAAUAUAUGAAUAAUUGAGCCUUUAUUUUGGAUUAUAAGAAUAAAUUACCUUAGGGAUAACAGCGUAAUUUUCUUUAGAGUUCUUAUUGAAUAGAAAGAUUGCGACCUCGAUGUUGGAUUAAAAUUAAAAUUUGGUGUAGGAGCUGAAUAUUUAGGUCUGUUCGACCUUUAAAAUUUUACAUGAUCUGAGUUUAAACCGGCGUAAGCCAGGUUGGUUUCUAUCUUUAUAUAGUUAAAAUAUUUUAGUACGAAAGGACCAAAUAUUUAUUUUAUAAAUUGUUUUUGAAUAAGAUU